RNAcentral lists this ribosomal RNA (243 nucleotides) under uncultured Actinomycetales bacterium. RNAcentral describes it as "partial 16S ribosomal RNA". It matches the Rfam family "Bacterial small subunit ribosomal RNA", at positions 88 to 334 of the family's 1533-position model. Lineage: Bacteria; Bacillati; Actinomycetota; Actinomycetes; Actinomycetales. The record is from RNAcentral.
UACUCGAGUGGCGAACGGGUGAGUAACACGUGGGUGACCUGCCUUGCACUCUGGGAUAAGCUUGGGAAACUGGGUCUAAUACCGGAUAGGAACCGUCUUUAGUGUGGUGGUUGGAAAGUUUUUUCGGUGCAAGAUGAGCUCGCGGCCUAUCAGCUUGUUGGUGGGGUAAUGGCCUACCAAGGCGUCGACGGGUAGCCGGCCUGAGAGGGUGUAGGGCCACAUUGGGACUGAGAUACGGCCCAG